UACAGAGGUCUCGAGCGUUAGGCGGAAUCACUGGGCUUAAAGCGUGUGUAGGCGGGUCGUUAAGUACCUUGUGAAAUCCCAUGGCUCAACCAUGGAACUGCUUGGUAUACUGGCGAUCUUGUGCAACCUAGGGGCGAGCGGAACAGAUGGUGGAGCGGUGAAAUGCGUAGAUAUCAUCUGGAACGCCAAUGGUGAAAACAGCUCGCUGGGGGUUUGCAGACGCUGAGACACGAAAGCCAGGGGAGCGAACAGG
Molecule: ribosomal RNA, 253 nt
Filed under: uncultured bacterium
Lineage: Bacteria
Description: partial 16S ribosomal RNA
Rfam family: Bacterial small subunit ribosomal RNA
Source: RNAcentral